ACCCAGCUGACGAAUCCCAAAUAGGACGAAACGCGCGUCCUGGAU
Schistosoma rodhaini is the source of this 45-nucleotide non-coding RNA. The record is from Rfam. NCBI's taxonomy places the organism in Eukaryota, Metazoa, Platyhelminthes, Trematoda, Strigeidida, Schistosomatidae.